AAACACAAUUUUUUUUUUUUGAAAACACAAAUUUUUAUGUUGGCGGGAAAAUGAAUUUUUCAGUUUUUGCGGGAAAUAAGAUUUUCUGGUUUUGGCGGGAAAAUAUGAUUUUCCAGCGGAAAAAAGAGAUUUAUAGGUUUUGGCGGAAAAUACAUUUUUGGUAUUGGCGGGAAAACACGAUUUCGAUUUUUUCGGGAAACGAGAUUGUUCGCUUUUAGCGGGAAAUGCGUUUUUUUUUGUUUUGGCGGAAAAAUACAAUUUUUUGGUUUUGCGAAAAUGAGAUUUUCAGUUUUGGUGGGAAAACGGGAUUUUUUUGUUUUGAACGAAAACACGAUUUUAUUAAUUUUUACGAAAAAUGAAUUUUUUUUUGCUUUUGGCGUGAAACACAUUUUUUUGGUUUUAGCGGGAAAACAUGAUUUUUGGUUUUUGCUGGAAAACAAGAUUGGUCAGUUUUUGCGGGAAUGAAAUUUUCCAAUUUUGACGAUAAAACGUUUUUUUGUUUCGGGGGAAAGCGAGAGUUUUUAUUUUUGCGGAAAACACAAUUUCGAUUUUGGCGAGAAAAAACGAUUUUUUUUUGGCUGGAAAACACGAUUUUUUGUUUUGGCGUGAAAAUGUGUUUUUUGGUUUUGACGGAAAAAUGCUAUUUUUUGGCAGAAAAACAAUAUUUUCUGUUUUUGCUGGAAAACAAUAUUUUCUGAUUUUAGUGAUAAAAUGAGAUUUUCCUAUUUUGACGAGAAACCUUUUUUUUCUUCAGCGGGAAAGCGAUAUUCUCGGGUUUGGUGGGAAAGUGUCAUUUUCGGUUUUGACGUGAAAACGAGAGUUUUUAGUUUUGACGGGAUAAUUUUUUGUGGGAAAACAAAAUUUUUGGUAUUGGCGAGUAAAACACGAUUUUUUGUUUUGUCGGGUAAAUGUUUUUUUUGUGUGGUUUUAGCGACAAUAUACGUUUUUGCGGUUUUGUCAUUUUUUUGUGACUGACAAAAUAAUUUUAGGGUUAAGUUUGUGAUUUGUCAAUAAUAUUAGGGUACAAUUGACAUUAUAUCAUUUUGGUAAAAAAAUAUUUAAUUAUAUUUUUGUAUAUAUAGGAAAACAACACCGAUGGGCUUUUGUGUGUUUGGACUUCAGGCUUUGUUCCAAGAACCCAUCUCACAAUAACGAGCAACCCUAAUCCUCAUCGAAAUUCAUGGUUCUACGCAAGAUUUCAUAUAUCCACUGUUCGAGCGAUUGUGUUGCCGAAGUCAACCUGAUGAAUCCUUUUUUACGGUUUCGCUUCCGUCGUGUGAGAUUCUUCUUCUCCAAUCGAAACGCUUCCAUUUCAGAUUCAUCACAUUUGAGUAUAAAAAGGUCGACUAUAGGAGUCCAACACGUACUCUAUGGAAAGGGAAGAUGGUGAUCGGAAAAGAGGCCCUUUUCGUGAUCAUGGGUCUUAAGAGACUGAACAUAGGUGGCCAGAAAUUGAAAAGACUUAAGCAAACCACUGAUUAUUGCAUACAAAAGAGUUUGAGGCAGGAGAAGAAGACUUGUAAGAGAUGCAGCUCCUUCCACAAUGUACUCUAAGCUCUCCAUCAUACUAGCUGUUUUUAUCAUCUCAUCAUAUCAUAUUUAGUGGCAUCCAAAACAAGCAAAGAGGUGUUUUGAGAAGCGGCGGGAAGUGGUGGAGGCAGAGGCCAAGGUGGUGGCUACAGAGGUGGUUGAGCUCUAGACUGUUGUGCGUAAAAGUGGGAUGGAAAAUGGAAUAGCGAGCUCUAACAUGAUAUUAGGAAGAACGUGUAAGAAAACAAUAGCCAUUUCUGAUCGUCACAUAAACACGCUCCUGCUUGUCAAAGAGCAUUCGGAGAUGAAGCACUUGUUGCUUCGACUUACGCAAGGAUCUUUCUCUAUAACUCGGUGGCUACAGAAAUGUGUUUCCGCUUGAGUCAAAGGUUUAUGUAUGAGUGUACGACGGGAGAAACGGUGACGAUAGAGCUAACAGAGAGAGCGAUGGGUUAUUGACUAAUUACUCGACCGGUAAACAAUAUAAGCUAUAGUCGAUAGGUGAUGCUGGGCUGGUGAUGCUGGUGGUAUCUUUGCUUAUGCGAGGAAGAUGGUAAUGAUUCCAUCUCCAUUAACAGCUUAACUCCACAUUCAAUAUGAUGUGUUCACAGUUAUGUUCUCAUGACUUUGUUGUUGUUGAUUAUUUAUCUACUCAAAUCUAUCUCUCUUUUCAAGGACUGAGAAGAUGACUGCAUUUUCCAUAUAGCAGAGAUAUGAUUUUUAUGUACUCAUUAUCUUCUGUGUCUCAACUAGAUUUCUUAAGUAGUUGAUACCCUUUGUAUUCAACUUAUUUUGUUGGUUGGCACACAUUCUGUACUAUAUUUCCAUAACGUCCACUUGGAUAAUUUGUUUUUUAUUUUUUCUUCA
This is a long non-coding RNA of Brassica napus (rape), 2397 nucleotides long. RefSeq lists it as uncharacterized. The transcript is spliced from 2 exons. Lineage: Eukaryota; Viridiplantae; Streptophyta; Magnoliopsida; Brassicales; Brassicaceae. The record is from RefSeq and is a predicted model, not a curated record.